UGGGGAAUAUUGCACAAUGGGCGCAAGCCUGAUGCAGCCAUGCCGCGUGUAUGAAGAAGGCCUUCGGGUUGUAAAGUACUUUCAGCGGGGAGGAAGGGAGUAAAGUGAAUACCUUUGCUCAUUGACGUUACCCGCAGAAGAAGCACCGGCUAACUCCGUGCCAGCAGCCGCGGUAAUACGGAGGGUGCAAGCGUUAAUCGGAAUUACUGGGCGUAAAGCGCACGCAGGCGGUUUGUUAAGUCAGAUGUGAAAUCCCCGGGCUCAACCUGGGAACUGCAUCUGAUACUGGCAGGCUAGAGUCUUGUAGAGGGGGGUAGAAUUCCAGGUGUAGCGGUGAAAUGCGUAGAGAUCUGGAGGAAUACCGGUGGCGAAGGCGGCCCCCUGGACAAAGACUGACGCUCAGGUGCGAAAGCGUGGGGAGCAAACAGG
This 429-nucleotide ribosomal RNA is filed under the name Chloroflexota bacterium. RNAcentral's name for it is "Chloroflexi bacterium partial 16S ribosomal RNA". It matches the Rfam family "Bacterial small subunit ribosomal RNA", at positions 355 to 776 of the family's 1533-position model. Lineage: Bacteria; Bacillati; Chloroflexota. The record is from RNAcentral.